This 379-nucleotide long non-coding RNA is filed under the name Nicotiana benthamiana. Its description in RNAcentral is "long non-coding RNA (NBEN_LNC013499)". Lineage: Eukaryota; Viridiplantae; Streptophyta; Magnoliopsida; Solanales; Solanaceae. The record is from RNAcentral.
AUAGGGUGUGAUUUUGGUGGCCGCCUGAACUGGCGCCACCGUGGACAGCGGACCAGUCAGACCUUUGAACGAAUAUUUGAGACAAACGGCUAAGAUUCGAGGGCUGGGGUUAGGGUGUUGGAAAGAGGAGGAAGAGGAGAUUCAGGGGUGUUAAUUAGGGCGUCGUUAUAGACUUGUCGGCGGCGACGACGAUUUUCAGGCGGCGCCAGACGGCGGAAAAGUUGUGAACUCAUAUUCAAAUGGAUUCUGAGGUGGGCUUUCCCUUGUCUAUGGUAGUACUGUGAAAACUGAGAUUGCUUGUCCUACUCGAUCCAUUAAGGAGGGAGCUGAGGGAGAGGAGUGGCUCCUUACUCUGGGAACCCUUGGCUGUAGUUAUUGG